AAAAAUCGUCGGCGAAAAGCAAGAAUUCAAAAAAUCUAGAAAACUCUAAACAAAACAAGUUUCAGAUAGCCAAAUAAAGGCUAAAUCGAACAGACAACCUAGCAAACUCGAAACGAGACAAGCUUCAGAUAGCCAAAUAAAGGCUAAAUCGGACAAACUUGUGCAGUAUAACAGCAACAACAAAAAUCAGCAGGUUAAAGAAAUAGGAAAAAUAAAGCAACCAGAUUAGCAGGAAAAGAUAGCGUUAGACAAAAUGAACAUGUUCUCCUUUGAUUCUAGUGAUGAACACAUAACAGAAGAGCAAUGAGCACCUAGACAGUAGCGAUAAAACUUUAAAAAAGCAGCCAAAUAGAGACCAGAAAUAAACUUCAAAUUGAUGUUCAGCUACUAAUUGAAGUAGAGCCAACAACAAACAGUAGAAAAUCCCAACCAAAUCCUUUAGAAAACACUUGAAAAGUAGAGCUUGACAACCAAAUAAAAUUACAACAUAAAAGUAGAACUCAACAUCAGCUCUCAGUAGUAGAACAAGGAAAUCAAGCAGUGAAUUAAAUUGUAUAACAAAGAUGUGCAAUCGAAGAACAAAUAUGGAAAAUUUUGUAGAACAAGGAAAUCAAGCAGUGAAUCAAAUUUGUAUAACAAAGAUGUGCAAUCGAAGGACAAAUAUGGAAAAUUUUGAAUUCUUCUCUAAAUUUUUGGUCUUUUUUGUAGCUAUUAGGACUGAAAUUUUAAAAGCUUUUCUACUAAAAAUGAGAGUAAAAUAAUGAAAGAUCUCUAAAAAAAAUUGCAAUCUAACUCCUGUGUUAGGGAUUUAGGGGAGAUUAGCGAGAUGGGUGAGUUUAGGUGUAUGAGUGAAAGGGUCCGGAUUCGUGAGGUGAGCUAGUGAAGAAGAAGAAAGAGGGGUCUGGUUUUUUGGGUGGAAACCGAGUUGUG
Molecule: long non-coding RNA, 930 nt
Filed under: Nicotiana benthamiana
Lineage: Eukaryota; Viridiplantae; Streptophyta; Magnoliopsida; Solanales; Solanaceae
Description: long non-coding RNA (NBEN_LNC014200)
Source: RNAcentral